AAUGACCUGCUUAGAGUUCUGCGCCCCCCAGCAUGGAGAGCAGAGCGCAAAGAUUUCCUCCAGACUCCCACAUUCUCCCUUGGAAUCCAAGAACUUGUCUACUAUCACAACACUUUAGUACCCACUUCUCCUAAGGAGGCAGCAGAAACCAAGGUAAUCACAAUGGUCAACAGCAGCGAAGGCAGCACUUUCUGAUUUUAAACUUGACUGCUAUGGAUGCCACCUCAGUUUAAUAUCUGGCAGCACUGCCGUCAGUGAAUCAGCUCUAUCUGUGCAGUGGGCAAGAAGGACCCACUGGGUGACCACAAUAUGGCACUUCGGACAGGAGGUGUCCUGGUGAUUAGCUGGAGCUCUGGGGAGCUGUUGCUGAAAUUAACUUGAGUGCUUUGGAGAGAGAUUUACAUGGAAGAGUGGAGCCAGGGCUGCUCCUUUGGCAGGCACUGCUGUGCCACUGUGGAGGCGCCCCUGCUUUUCCCAUGCUGUGCAAUGUCCUCAAAGGCCUUUGGAGCCAUGCCUAGGCUCAGCCCCAUCCUGGUGUCCCCCUGUGUCCGUUGUGCCACUGCCCGGCUACUUCACUUGGCCAUGGGCCUUACCAGCUUGCAGACAAACCCGUCCAUCUACGCCUCCCAGCGCAGCUUGGCCCACUUGCAAGCACUUACAGAGGGUUUCAGAAGGAACAUGUCUGCCAUCUGUGUUUGGAGACUGUGUCCCAGACUUUCGAGCUCACAUUAGUCAUCGCCACAGACGGGACUGGAGUCCUGCCCACUGGAGUCCCAAAGGUCUCUGGUGUUUGUUUUCCACUCUGCAUGCCUGGGUUGGGGGAUGGCAGGGGGAUACAGGUUGUUGGAGUACCUCCCAGCUGGCCGUUUCCUUGGUUCCCUGGGGCUGCCUUGCUUCCUCUCU
This 903-nucleotide non-coding RNA is filed under the name Pongo abelii (Sumatran orangutan). The record is from RNAcentral. Lineage: Eukaryota; Metazoa; Chordata; Mammalia; Primates; Hominidae.